UACAGAAGCACAUGUUCCAGUACACUAUCC
RNAcentral lists this non-coding RNA (30 nucleotides) under Mus musculus (house mouse). The record is from RNAcentral. Lineage: Eukaryota; Metazoa; Chordata; Mammalia; Rodentia; Muridae.